UAGCGCGGUGGUCCCACCUGACCCCAUGCCGAACUCAGAAGUGAAACGCCGUAGCGCCGAUGGUAGUGUGGGGCUUCCCCAUGUGAGAGUAGGACAUUGCCAGAC
RNAcentral lists this ribosomal RNA (105 nucleotides) under Enterobacillus tribolii. Lineage: Bacteria; Pseudomonadati; Pseudomonadota; Gammaproteobacteria; Enterobacterales; Hafniaceae. The record is from RNAcentral.